AACGGCCGUACCAUGCUGAAUAUACCGGUUCUCGUUAGAUCACCGAAGUCAAGCAUCAUUGGGCGCGGUCAGUACUUGGGCGGGUGACCACCUGGGAACACCGCGUGCCGUU
RNAcentral lists this ribosomal RNA (112 nucleotides) under Caerostris darwini. Lineage: Eukaryota; Metazoa; Arthropoda; Arachnida; Araneae; Araneidae. The record is from RNAcentral.